RNAcentral lists this ribosomal RNA (253 nucleotides) under uncultured bacterium. Its description in RNAcentral is "partial 16S ribosomal RNA". It matches the Rfam family "Bacterial small subunit ribosomal RNA", at positions 524 to 776 of the family's 1533-position model. The record is from RNAcentral.
UACGGGGGGGGCAAGCGUUGUUCGGAAUUACUGGGCGUAAAGGGCUCGUAGGUGGCCAACUCAGUCGGACGUGAAAUCCCUCGGCUUAACCGGGGAACUGCGUCCGAUACUGGAUGGCUCGAGAUCGGGAGAGGGAUGCGGAAUUCCAGGUGUAGCGGUGAAAUGCGUAGAUAUCUGGAGGAACACCGGUGGCGAAGGCGGCAUCCUGGACCGACACUGACACUGAGGAGCGAAAGCCAGGGGAGCAAACGGG